CAGUCGCCACGGUAAUACAGAGGGUGCGAGCGUUAAUCGGAUUUACUGGGCGUAAAGCGUGCGUAGGCGGCUUCUUAAGUCGGAUGUGAAAUCCCUGAGCUUAACUUAGGAAUUGCAUUCGAUACUGGGAAGCUAGAGUAUGGGAGAGGAUGGUAGAAUUCCAGGUGUAGCGGUGAAAUGCGUAGAGAUCUGGAGGAAUACCGAUGGCGAAGGCAGCCAUCUGGCCUAAUACUGACGCUGAGGUACGAAAGCAUGGGGAGCAAACAGGAUUAGAUACCCGUGUAGUCCCUGUCUCUUAUAA
This 301-nucleotide ribosomal RNA is filed under the name uncultured bacterium. RNAcentral describes it as "partial 16S ribosomal RNA". It matches the Rfam family "Bacterial small subunit ribosomal RNA", at positions 509 to 809 of the family's 1533-position model. The record is from RNAcentral.